UUCUGGCUCAGGAUGAACGCUGGCGGCGUGCCCAACACAUGCAAGUCGAACGAGGGUGCUUGCACCCUAGUGGCGAACGGGUGAGUAACACGUAGGUAACCUGCCUUAAGCUUGGGAUACCCAGAGGAAACUUUGGCUAAUACCGGAUAACAAUGGAAGAGGCAUCUCUUCUAUUUAAAAGGCCCGUAUGGGUCACUUAAAGAUGGACCUGCGGCGCAUUAGCUAGUUGGUGAGAUAACAGCCCACCAAGGCGAGGAUGCGUAGCCGACCUGAGAGGGUGAUCGGCCACAUUGGAACUGAGACACGGUCCAAACUCCUACGGGAGGCAGCAGUGAGGAGUUUUCGGCAAUGGGGGAAACCCUGACCGAGCAACGCCGCGUGAAUGAUGACGGCCCUAUGGGUUGUAAAGUUCUUUUAUUAGGGACGAAUGAUUAGCUUAGGAAAUGAAGCUAGUUUGACGGUACCUUUUGAAUAAGCCACGGCUAACUACGUGCCAGCAGCCGC
This 504-nucleotide ribosomal RNA is filed under the name uncultured bacterium. Its description in RNAcentral is "bacterial SSU rRNA". It matches the Rfam family "Bacterial small subunit ribosomal RNA", at positions 17 to 518 of the family's 1533-position model. The record is from RNAcentral.